CAGAAUACCUGCAUACACACAUACAUAUUUAUAGAUACAGACACAUGUGAAUCUCGAUCGUUUUUUCCUAUAAUUUUAUAUAGCACCUUUCCUUUGGAAACCCUUUCAGUUUCACUCACAGACACACGGGGGUUUUCUUAUAAAAGUAUUGUUGAUGUGAACGUAAUUAGAAGGAACACAAAUAAGGAAAGAAAAACAACCCACAUAAUCAGACUGUUGGAAAUGU
This is a long non-coding RNA of Octopus sinensis (East Asian common octopus), 226 nucleotides long. RefSeq lists it as uncharacterized. The transcript is spliced from 3 exons. The record is from RefSeq and is a predicted model, not a curated record. NCBI's taxonomy places the organism in Eukaryota, Metazoa, Mollusca, Cephalopoda, Octopoda, Octopodidae.